GCCGGGCACAGUGGCGCAGGCCUGUAGUCCCAGCUACUCAGGAGGCCGAGGUGGGAGGAUCACUUGAGCCCAGGAGUUCUGGGCUGUAGUGCGCUAUGCUCAUCAGGUGUCCACACAAAGUUCGGCAUCAAUAUGGUGACCUCCCGGGAUCGGGGAACCACCAGGUUGCCUAAGGAGGGGUGAACCGGCCCAGGUCGGAAACAGAGCAGGUCAAAACUCCCGUGCUGAUCAGUAGUGGGAUUGCACCUGUGAACAGCCACUGCACUCCAGCCUGGGCAACAGAGCAAGACACCAUCUCA
Molecule: signal recognition particle RNA, 299 nt
Filed under: Saimiri boliviensis boliviensis (Bolivian squirrel monkey)
Lineage: Eukaryota; Metazoa; Chordata; Mammalia; Primates; Cebidae
Description: Metazoan signal recognition particle RNA (ENSSBOG00000004771.1)
Rfam family: Metazoan signal recognition particle RNA
About the family: The signal recognition particle (SRP) is a universally conserved ribonucleoprotein. It is involved in the co-translational targeting of proteins to membranes.
Source: RNAcentral